This is a non-coding RNA of Chiloscyllium plagiosum (whitespotted bambooshark), 239 nucleotides long. The record is from RefSeq and is a predicted model, not a curated record. NCBI's taxonomy places the organism in Eukaryota, Metazoa, Chordata, Chondrichthyes, Orectolobiformes, Hemiscylliidae.
GCAGGAUCCCAGCUGGCUAGAAUCCAUGAUGACAAACAUAGUGCUGUACAUGGUAAACAAUCGUCGAGUUAUAGAUCCACAAAUUCAUAUUGCUUCCAUGUCUACUGAAGCCAUACAGAAUGCACCAUAUAGAAGUAGGAGGAAGUGUAAGGCCAAGAAACUAUAAUGCAUAAAGGAUGGAUAUCAGCACCUGUUGCUUGUUGGAUAAUGAACCCGACGGUCGGAGGAGGAGCAUCUUA